Molecule: ribosomal RNA, 492 nt
Filed under: uncultured bacterium
Lineage: Bacteria
Description: partial 16S ribosomal RNA
Rfam family: Bacterial small subunit ribosomal RNA
Source: RNAcentral
AGUGAACGCUGGCGGUAGGCCUAACACAUGCAAGUCGAACGGCAGCACAGUAAGAGCUUGCUCUUACGGGUGGCGAGUGGCGGACGGGUGAGGAAUACAUCGGAAUCUACUUUUUCGUGGGGGAUAACGUAGGGAAACUUACGCUAAUACCGCAUACGACCUACGGGUGAAAGCAGGGGAUCUUCGGACCUUGCGCGAUUGAAUGAGCCGAUGUCGGAUUAGCUAGUUGGCGGGGUAAAGGCCCACCAAGGCGACGAUCCGUAGCUGGUCUGAGAGGAUGAUCAGCCACACUGGAACUGAGACACGGUCCAGACUCCUACGGGAGGCAGCAGUGGGGAAUAUUGGGCAAUGGGCGCAAGCCUGAUCCAGCCACACCGCGUGGGUGAAGAAGGCCUUCGGGUUGUAAAGCCCUUUUGUUGGGAAAGAAAAGCAGCAGGUUAAUACCCCGCUGUUCUGACGGUACCCAAAGAAUAAGCACCGGCUAACUUCGUG